GAUACNUCUCUUAUGGAUCUAAUGCNNCNUNNCUGCUUGGAAACUCAUAGUCUAGAGUGAGGGAGAGGCNGAUGGAAUUGGUGGUGUAGGGGNAAAAUCCGUAGAUAUCACCAAGAAUACCCAUUGCGAAGGCGAUCUGCUGGAACUCAACUGAGCUAAGGCGCNAAAGCGUGGGGAGCNAACAGGAUUAGAUACCCUNGUAGUCCACGCCCUAAACGAUGUACNCUAGUUGUUGGGAUGCUAGUCAUCUCAGUAAUGCACGUAACGCAUUAAGUGUACCGCCUGGGGAGUACGGUCGCAAGA
This 303-nucleotide ribosomal RNA is filed under the name Campylobacter jejuni. RNAcentral describes it as "partial 16S ribosomal RNA". It matches the Rfam family "Bacterial small subunit ribosomal RNA", at positions 596 to 893 of the family's 1533-position model. Lineage: Bacteria; Pseudomonadati; Campylobacterota; Epsilonproteobacteria; Campylobacterales; Campylobacteraceae. The record is from RNAcentral.